CCGCCGUUUUUCCUCGAUGGAAUUUGGAAUUUGCCCUGGUUCUUUUUGGCUUCCAAGGUUUGUUAUUGGUGGGCGUCCUCUGGUUCAUCAUGCAACAAAGUCGACGAUGAGCAAGGUGUGAACUUCGUUAAAAAUUAAAUCGUAUGGCAUUCACGGAUUUUAUUCAAAUUUGAAACAGCUUCUACGUGUUGUUGAAGUCACGGACUCACUGCUGAACAGAAAAUCGCGAUGUUAUGUACUUCACCGACUGCCACUUCACAUUUCUCGAUUCAAGGCCUGUUAAAAAGGCAGAGAAGAGAGAGGCACAGAGGGUUGGUGCUUACAUGAAAAUCGUUGCUCCUUCACUAACCGACCUGAAAGCGCUCAAAUGCAAGAAAGCGUAGAAAUAUCAAGAUUCACUCCACUACCCAGUACCACAAAGGCUCCUUUGGAAACCCAAGGGGACGUUUGGACGUAUUCGAUACAACUACUCCGGAAAGAAUUCUGAAGGCAACAGAUUUAUAAAAAAUGCUCAGCUUUGAAGCUGAAAACUAUUUUACAAGUUUUGUUGUAAUUAAGAACCUUGUGCUUGGUGGGGUUAGAUUCCAUUCCUCUCAUCACUAACUGAGUUCGAGCUCCGUACUGUAAGAUACUGACCAAGAUUUUCCGCUCGGAUUUAAGGCCCGCGCGCUCGCGCUUCGCAUGAAAUUCCUGUCAUAACUCUAUUUCAGACUAUUCUUGGCAAAUCAAUUUUUCCUUGAGCAUAUAAAAUGCACAGGAUUUGCAAUGAUAGUAUCGUUGUGUUAUAAAUAAGAGCUGGUUUUUCCUAUCUUCCCAUUGAGCUUAAUUGUCAAGGAGAAAUAAAAUAAAAGAGAAAACAUUUUAAAACCUUUUGGAUAAAAUAGAGUGGAAAAUCUAAUAA
Non-coding RNA from Pocillopora verrucosa, 901 nucleotides. NCBI's taxonomy places the organism in Eukaryota, Metazoa, Cnidaria, Anthozoa, Scleractinia, Pocilloporidae. The record is from RefSeq and is a predicted model, not a curated record.